This 253-nucleotide ribosomal RNA is filed under the name uncultured bacterium. Its description in RNAcentral is "partial 16S ribosomal RNA". It matches the Rfam family "Bacterial small subunit ribosomal RNA", at positions 524 to 776 of the family's 1533-position model. The record is from RNAcentral. RNAcentral also lists the same sequence under 1 other name.
UACGUAGGGUCCGAGCGUUGUCCGGAAUUAUUGGGCGUAAAGGGCUCGUAGGCGGUUUGUCGCGUCGGGAGUGAAAACUCAGGGCUCAACCCUGAGCGUGCUUCCGAUACGGGCAGACUAGAGGUAUGCAGGGGAGAACGGAAUUCCUGGUGUAGCGGUGGAAUGCGCAGAUAUCAGGAGGAACACCGGUGGCGAAGGCGGUUCUCUGGGCAUUACCUGACGCUGAGGAGCGAAAGCAUGGGGAGCGAACAGG